This 774-nucleotide ribosomal RNA is filed under the name uncultured Neocallimastigales. Its description in RNAcentral is "partial large subunit ribosomal RNA". It matches the Rfam family "Eukaryotic large subunit ribosomal RNA", at positions 22 to 649 of the family's 3401-position model. Lineage: Eukaryota; Fungi; Neocallimastigomycota; Neocallimastigomycetes; Neocallimastigales. The record is from RNAcentral.
GUACACGCUGUGACUAGCAUAUCAAUAAGCGGAGGAAAAGAAACUAACAAGGAUUCCCUUAGUAACGGCGAGUGAAGCGGGAAGAGCUCAAAUUUGAAAUCUUGAAAGGUCACCUUUCACGAAUUGUAGUUUAAAGAAGUGUUUUCUGUUACGAUCGUAAUAUAAGUUCUUUGGAAUAGGACAUCACAGAGGGUGAGAAUCCCGUCUAUGAUUGCGAUUUGUAGCUUUGUGAUACACUUUCAAAGAGUCGGGUUGUUUGGGAAUGCAGCCCAAAACGGGAGGUAAAUUUCAUCUAAGGCUAAAUAUUGGCGAGAGACCGAUAGCGAACAAGUACCGUGAGGGAAAGAUGAAAAGAACUUUGAAAAGAGAGUUAAACAGUACGUGAAAUUGUCAAAAGGGAAGCGUUUGACACCAGUGUUGUUUUCUCGAAAAUCAAUUAAAAAUGGCUCGAUUUUGUAUUGCUGAGACCUUAAAAGCUCACUGUACACUUUUCGUGUCUUUUUUAAUGCACUUUUCGUUUAACAAGUCAACAUCAGUUUCUUUUGUUGUAAAAGGGUCAUUGGAAGGUGGCUUUCUUUUCGGAGAAAGUGUUUAUAGCCUUUGGCCUCUGCAAUCGGAGAGACUGAGGUCUGCAGCGUAGACUCUUCGGGGUUAGAUACAUUUGUGCUAAGUUAUAGCUUUUUAUAGACAACAUGUUGACUAUAAUUAGUCUUGUAGCUUACUCGCUUAUGCUAUUUUACCUACGCUUAGGAUGUUGAGUAGCGACAUACGCAC